GAGAGGGGGAGAGAGAAACAUUGAUGUGAAAGAGAAACAUUGAUCGAUUGCCUCUCGCACAAGCUCCAACCCGGGGUGGAACCCGAACCCUAGGUAUGUGCCCUGACCCAGAAUGGAACCUGAAACCCUUCGGGCGCAUGGCUCCACUCUCCAACCAACUGAGCCACCCGGCAGGGGCGCCCGAUGUCAUUUAAAUGCAGCACAAUGCUUGGUGCAGAGCGGAGGAUUUGGAGAGUCCUAAGUUCAAAUCCCUGCUCUUCCUCUUGCUGGUUGGGUGCUCACGGGCAAGUCACUCGGCCUCUCCUGACGCCUCAGUCUUCCCAUCCAGAGAAUGGCAAGCACUGUUAAGAAAGAGGGAGCUCCUAAAUCCCGCCUUCAACGUGGAUGAACCCAGGGACAUUAUGGCAAGUGAAAUCAGCCAGUUACAGAGGGACACAGACUGCCUGCCUGACUCUGAAGGAUCUAACAUAGUCAAACCCACAGGCAGAGAGAGUAGAACAGUGAUUGCCCGGGGCCGGGAGAAGGCUGAUGGGGAGUUAGUUGUUCCAGGAGUAGAGCGUUUCAGUCACCCAAGAGGAGUCAGUCCCAGAGACCUGGUGUGCAGUACGCAAUGCCUGGAGUCAGCGAUGCCGCCCUGGGCACGUCGACAUUCCCUAAGAAGGCAGCGCUCUUGUCAAGAGUUCUUACCACGAUUCAAAAAAGAAGAGAAAGAGGAAGCUUAUGAGGGGUCGCUAAGAUCUUUGGUUAAGGGAACAAGAAUUGAAUGUCCAGUUAUAUCCUCCAGCUCCAGAAUAUUUCAAUGCUCCCUGUGUCUUCCCAUUUACCUACGAAGACCUGACCUACUACAGCUGCAUCUCUGUGCACAGCGAUUAUGCCUGGUGCUCCCUGGAAGACAGAUUCAAUGGCAGGUGGCGCUACUGCACGGCCAACGACCCCCCCAUGUGUACCUUCCCCUUCCGCUUCAGGAGUAGACUCUUUCAGACGUGCACCAAGGUAGGCUACAUUUUCAAUAGGACGUGGUGCUCGCUGACCAGUAAUUACGAUGCAGAUGGAAAAUGGAAGCAGUGUUCUCCUUACAAUUUAUAGUAAGUCUUGGUGUUCACGAACGGACAGAAGUUAUAGGAUUCAUCAGCUGCCUCUCAAAAUGGAUCUUUUCCCGGAUCAUUCUGACCAAUAAAGAUUUGAUCCCUCUC
This is an RNA transcript of Myotis davidii, 1193 nucleotides long. It is a transcript of the gene named binder of sperm protein homolog 2-like, with no coding region annotated. The record is from RefSeq and is a predicted model, not a curated record. Lineage: Eukaryota; Metazoa; Chordata; Mammalia; Chiroptera; Vespertilionidae. The transcript has 5 exons.